RNAcentral lists this ribosomal RNA (456 nucleotides) under uncultured bacterium. RNAcentral's name for it is "bacterial SSU rRNA". It matches the Rfam family "Bacterial small subunit ribosomal RNA", at positions 52 to 518 of the family's 1533-position model. The record is from RNAcentral.
UACAUGCAAGUCGAACGAGAAGCAGUCUUCGGACUGUGGAAAGUGGCGGACGGGUGAGUAAUAUGUAGAGAAUCUGCCCUUGAGAGGGGGACAACAGUUGGAAACGACUGCUAAUACCCCAUAUGAGCGUAGCUGAAAUGCUAUUCUUGAAAACUCCGGUGCUCAAGGAUGAGUCUGCAUCUGAUUAGCUAGUUGGUGGUGUAAUGGACUACCAAGGCGACGAUCAGUAGCUGGUUUGAGAGGAUGAUCAGCCACAAUGGGACUGAGACACCGGCCCAUACUCCUACGGGAGGCAGCAGGUAGGGUAAUUUUGCGCAAGUGGGGGGAAAAACCCCUGACGCAGCAACGCCGCGUAGAACGAGAACGCCCGUUCGGGGUGUUAAAGUUUUGUCAGUGGGGACGAACAAUGACGGUACCCACAGAGGAAGCACCGGCUAACUCCGUGCCAGCCGCAGC